GAUGAAGAACGUAGCAAAAUGCGAUACUUGGUGUGAAUUGCAGAAUCCCGUGAACCAUCGAGUUUUUGAACGCAAGUUGCGCCCGAAGCCUUUUGGCCGAGGGCACGUCUGCCUGGGCGUCACGCAUCGCGUCGCCCCCCACAAUUCUCCGUAAAGGGAACAUGUGUUUUGGGGGCGGAUAUUGGUCUCCCGUGCUCAUGGCGUGGUUGGCCGAAAUAGGAGUCCUUUCGAUGGACGCACGAACUAGUGGUGGUCGUAAAAACCCUCGUCUUUUGUUUCGUGCUGUUGCUCGCAAGGUAAACUCUUUAAAAACCCCAAUGUGUCGUCUCUUGACGACGCUUCGACCGCGACCCUAGGUCAGGCGGGACUACCCGCUGAGUUUAAGCAUAUCAAUAAGCGGAGGA
RNAcentral lists this unclassified non-coding RNA (404 nucleotides) under soil metagenome. RNAcentral's name for it is "partial contains 5.8S ribosomal RNA, internal transcribed spacer 2, and large subunit ribosomal RNA". The stretch from base 1 to 122 matches the Rfam family "5.8S ribosomal RNA", at positions 35 to 154 of the family's 154-position model. The record is from RNAcentral.